AUAAUUUUUUCGUACUGAAAAAGACAACAGAAGUUAAGUAGUUGCUGCGGCACCAUUUAUAACAACUACAUAUGGCAUCUCAAAAUGAAGGAACUAAGCACGUGCAAAAAAAGAGGGCAAUGAAGAUCCAUCACAGUCUGAGAUGUUUGUUGUAACUCGUACUAACAAGAAAGGAGA
Arachis ipaensis is the source of this 177-nucleotide non-coding RNA. NCBI's taxonomy places the organism in Eukaryota, Viridiplantae, Streptophyta, Magnoliopsida, Fabales, Fabaceae. The record is from RefSeq and is a predicted model, not a curated record.